UACGUAGGGUGCGAGCGUUUGUCCGGAAUUAUUGGGCGUAAAGAGCUCGUAGGCGGUUUGUCGCGUCUGCCGUGAAAGUCCGGGGCUCAACUCCGGAUCUGCGGUGGGUACGGGCAGACUAGAGUGAUGUAGGGGGAGACUGGAAUUCCUGGUGUAGCGGUGAAAUGCGCAGAUAUCAGGAGGAACACCGAUGGCGAAGGCAGGUCUCUGGGCAUUAACUGACGCUGAGGAGCGAAAGCAUGGGGAGCGAACAGG
This 255-nucleotide ribosomal RNA is filed under the name uncultured bacterium. RNAcentral describes it as "partial 16S ribosomal RNA". It matches the Rfam family "Bacterial small subunit ribosomal RNA", at positions 524 to 776 of the family's 1533-position model. The record is from RNAcentral.